UACGUAGGGUGCGAGCGUUAAUCGGAAUUACUGGGCGUAAAGCGUGCGCAGGCGGUUUUGUAAGCCAGAUGUGAAAUCCCCGGGCUUAACCUGGGAAUGGCAUUUGGGACUGCAAGGCUUGAGUGCGGCAGAGGAGACUGGAAUUCCUGGUGUAGCAGUGAAAUGCGUAGAUAUCAGGAGGAACACCGAUGGCGAAGGCGGCAUCCUGGACCAAUUCUGACGCUGAGGAGCGAAAGCCAGGGGAGCAAACGGG
This 253-nucleotide ribosomal RNA is filed under the name uncultured bacterium. RNAcentral's name for it is "partial 16S ribosomal RNA". It matches the Rfam family "Bacterial small subunit ribosomal RNA", at positions 524 to 776 of the family's 1533-position model. The record is from RNAcentral.